CAGUCGCCGCGGUAACACGGAGGGGGCUAGCGUUGUUCGGAAUUACUGGGCGUAAAGCGCACGUAGGCGGCUUGGUAAGUUAGAGGUGAAAGCCCGGAGCUCAACUCCGGAAUUGCCUUUAAGACUGCCGAGCUAGCAGGUGAGAGAGGUAAGUGGAAUUCCGAGUGUAGAGGUGAAAUUCGUAGAUAUUCGGAAGAACACCAGUGGCGAAGGCGGCUUACUGGCUCAUACUGGACGCUGAGGUGCGAAAGCGUGGGGAGCAAACAGGAUUAGAUACCCCCGUAGUCCCUGUCUCUUAUAC
This 301-nucleotide ribosomal RNA is filed under the name uncultured bacterium. RNAcentral's name for it is "partial 16S ribosomal RNA". It matches the Rfam family "Bacterial small subunit ribosomal RNA", at positions 509 to 807 of the family's 1533-position model. The record is from RNAcentral.